UACGUAGGGGGCAAGCGUUGUCCGGAUUUAUUGGGCGUAAAGAGCGUGUAGGCGGCUAGGUAGGUCCGUUGUGAAAACUCGAGGCUCAACCUCGAGACGCCGGUGGAAACCAUCAGACUAGAGUCCGGAAGAGGAGAGUGGAAUUCCUGGUGUAGCGGUGAAAUGCGCAGAUAUCAGGAAGAACACCCGUGGCUAAGGCGGCUCUCUAGUACGGUACUGACGCUGAGACGCGAAAAGCGUGGGGGAGCGAACAGG
This 255-nucleotide ribosomal RNA is filed under the name uncultured bacterium. Its description in RNAcentral is "partial 16S ribosomal RNA". It matches the Rfam family "Bacterial small subunit ribosomal RNA", at positions 524 to 776 of the family's 1533-position model. The record is from RNAcentral.